CCUACGGGAGGCAGCAGUAGGGAAUCUUUCACAAUGGGCGAAAGCCUGAUGGAGCAACGCCGCGUGCAGGAUGAAGGCCUUCGGGUUGUAAACUGCUUUUAUAAGCGAGAAAUAUGAUGGUAACUUAUGAAUAAGGAUCGGCUAACUACGUGCCAGCAGCCGCGGUCAUACGUAGGAUACGAGCAUUAUCCGGAGUGACUGGGUGUAAAGAGUUGCGUAGGUGGCAUAAUAAGUAGCUAGUGAAAUCUGGUGGCUCAACCAUUCAGACUAUUAGCUAAACUGUUAAGCUCGAGACCGUUAGGGGUAACUGGAAUUUCUAGUGUAGGAGUGAAAUCCGUAGAUAUUAGAAGGAACACCAAUAGCGUAGGCAGGUUGCUGGGACGGUUCUGACACUAAGGCACGAAAGCGUAGGGAGCAAACGGGAUUAGAUACCCGAGUAGUC
RNAcentral lists this ribosomal RNA (442 nucleotides) under uncultured bacterium. RNAcentral's name for it is "partial 16S ribosomal RNA". It matches the Rfam family "Bacterial small subunit ribosomal RNA", at positions 338 to 795 of the family's 1533-position model. The record is from RNAcentral.